ACUACUGGAGGAAGAAGGGGGGAAGAGGGGAAAAGGGGAGAAAGACUGAUCCAGCCAGGCCGCGGGUGGGAAGAAGGCCUUCGGGUUGGAAAGCACUGGCAGUGGGGAAGAAAGCCUUGGGGCUAAUACCCUCGAGGAAGGACAUCACCCACAGAAGAAGCACCGGCUAACUCCGUGCCAGCAGCCGCGGUAAUACGGAGGGUGCGAGCGUUAAUCGGAAUUACUGGGCGUAAAGCGCGCGUAGGCGGUCUGAUAAGCCGGUUGUGAAAGCCCCGGGCUCAACCUGGGAACGGCAUCCGGAACUGUCAGGCUAGAGUGCAGGAGAGGAAGGUAGAAUUCCCGGUGUAGCGGUGAAAUGCGUAGAGAUCGGGAGGAAUACCAGUGGCGAAGGCGGCCUUCUGGACUGACACUGACGCUGAGGUGCGAAAGCGUGGGUAGCAAACAGGAUUAGAUACCCCAGUAGUC
Molecule: ribosomal RNA, 465 nt
Filed under: Vreelandella stevensii
Lineage: Bacteria; Pseudomonadati; Pseudomonadota; Gammaproteobacteria; Oceanospirillales; Halomonadaceae
Description: partial 16S ribosomal RNA
Rfam family: Bacterial small subunit ribosomal RNA
Source: RNAcentral